Molecule: ribosomal RNA, 432 nt
Filed under: uncultured bacterium
Lineage: Bacteria
Description: partial 16S ribosomal RNA
Rfam family: Bacterial small subunit ribosomal RNA
Source: RNAcentral
AACGAACGCUGGCGGCAUGCCUAACACAUGCAAGUCGAACGAAAACUCCGGGUCUUGUGGCGCUCGGGUGCGUAACGCGUGGGAAGCUGCACUUGGGUUCGGAAUAACUCACCGAAAGGGGUGCUAAUACCGGAUAGUGUCUUCGGACCAAAGAUUUAUCGCCUGUGGGUGGGGCCGCGUUGGAUUAGCUAGUUGGUAGGGUAAAAGCCGGCCAAGGCGACGAUCCAUGGGUGGUCUGAGAGCAUGAUCAGCCACACUGGGACUGGGACACGGCCCAGACGGCUACGGGAGGUAGCAAGGGUGAAUAAUGGACAAUGGGCGAAAGCCUGAUCCAGCAAGGCCGCGAGAGUGAUGAAGGCGUUAGGAUCGUAAAGCUCUUUUACCCGGGAUGAUAAGGACAGAACCGGUAGAAUAAGCCCCGCCAAAUACCGU